This is a long non-coding RNA of Girardinichthys multiradiatus, 207 nucleotides long. RefSeq lists it as uncharacterized. The transcript has 2 exons. Lineage: Eukaryota; Metazoa; Chordata; Actinopteri; Cyprinodontiformes; Goodeidae. The record is from RefSeq and is a predicted model, not a curated record.
GGUCUACCUGGAUGUCUUUUUUUUUUUUUUUUUAUAAAAUUCAGAUAUUUGUUGAACUUUCAAUGUUUAGAGAAGCUGACUGAGAACACCAUCAACUUCUGCCGGAAUCUGUGUUGAUGGAGCUUCUUUAAGGAGGUCAGACCUUCUGUUAAUCUUGAUGGUUCUCUAGAGUCUUCAACACAAACAGAAUUAAAAGCUUGAACCUCA